Molecule: microRNA precursor, 96 nt
Filed under: Macaca fascicularis (crab-eating macaque)
Lineage: Eukaryota; Metazoa; Chordata; Mammalia; Primates; Cercopithecidae
Also listed under: 1 other name
Description: mir-1257 microRNA precursor family
Rfam family: mir-1257 microRNA precursor family
Source: Rfam by way of RNAcentral
GCCCUGGGCUUGUGCUCGGGGAGUCAGUGGUGGAUUCUGACCCCCAUGCACCCCUGCAGGCCCACUGGCCUCAUCCUUCACCCCUGCCCUGUGCCU